AAGGAGUGUGAGUAGCCCAUGGCGACCUGGGGGGACAAAUCAGCGUUGGGUGUGCCUGAGGCGCCUGGACUAAUCAAUGCGUUGAAGAGACUCUGGAAACUGGGCUGCUAAAGCGGGUCAGCAUGGAGAAAAACAGAGUGCCCUUGAAAACUGCAAAAAGCCCCUCUGCCCAAGACAGCUAGUUUCCAUGUGACUGCCACCAACGCUCUGCCAAUCAGAGCCUUCCAGGCUGCCCUGGGAGACCCAGCUGGAAGGAAGCCCACUGGGCCACCUCUUAUCAGCAGGGACAGGUGGGGACAUGGCUCCAGCUCCACUUCCAUCCCCCCCCUCUCUGGCUCACAAUCCUGCCUGGGUGAGGUGCACCACCCCUCUCUGUGUCUUGGCAGACAGGGCCAGCAGGCUGGCUGACUGAGCCGCAGGGGCCUCACCCCGCCAUCUGACUCCUGCAGCCACGCAGCCUCUACUCUGUGGACCUGCGGACCUGCCUCCAGCCCAGUGGAUCUGAGUCCUGGGUGUGAUGGAGACGCGAGCGAUGUGCUCGCCCGAGAGUGGAUCUGCUGCGGCCAGUUGGUGCCAUCUGUCAUCAAGGGUGAGGACAGCCACCCAGCCUGGCCAGCAACCCUGUGCACUCUCUCCUGCAGAAUGAUUGUUACCUCUCAAACAAAUCUUAGCGUGAGACACCAGGAAAGCCAGCUGAGAUGGUAAACAAGACAACCCAAACAGACUGCGAUGAUCAAAAUCAUGAGGAGUGACAUACCACUGGGUACGGACACGUCCCCGAGCUGGCACAGCUGCCCCCACUCACCUGCUCUGAGAAAAUGCCAUCCAGAGUCUUUACCUCCUGGGCUGCAGUGGAAGACUUGGGCUUGUGGUCCCCGUAGCCCUGGCGAAGCAAACAAGAUGUUCGCAAUCGAGGAUCCAUGUGGCUCAGUCCACAAGUGGGGAAUCACGGCAACAUUUCCUGGCCCCCACUAACCAGAAGCCAGUGAUGAUGCCCUCUGGCCCAUGACAAGCCCGGCCACCCUUGCACACAAGGGCCAGGUGGAAUCAUCCAAGUUUAUCCACAAAAGGUGCCACCAGCAGGCGACUAGCGCUUAACCUAAGGAAGACCAAGGUGCCCAACUCUAGCCUGCAGGACUUCUGUGUGCACAAGUCCCUUCUGGGGAGUAUGGCACUGGUGACAAGAGAUGACACCACGAGUGCAGGAAGAAUGGCAACUGCGGCCCUUCAGGACCAAAGCGACCAAGAACACGGGCUGACCAAAUGCCCUUGAUGCCUCCACCAUCCAGAGUGGAAUAAUCACCAUCCAAAACAAAACAAAAUAAAAGGGCUUAAGCGUGACAGGGAGACUAUUAGCAAUGGCACCAGAGAACCAGUUUCCCUCCCAGAGGUAGAAGGAACUGGAUGAAUUGGCGCAGCUAAGGGGGAGUCUUGUGCAAAGGUGUGGAGCUGGGCAAUUGAAAGACUGAAGGCCCUGGCUCAGGUGAAACAGAGGGUCCCACAGGGCGGGAGAGGAGGACCCUCCCUCCCCAGCCCAGGCCUGCCCACAUGUCCCUGGUUUCAUCUCCUGCCAGGCCCCACCUCGGGCCUUCCCACACAGUAGAUGUUCCCUCCAAGGUGCCAGGCCAACUUCUCACCCUUGAGAAGCUCCCCAAAAAGUCUCCCUUGCUCCCCUCUAGUUUCAAAAUUUAUAUUUAGAAGGUCAAAGUCUAUUUCUGAUAGGCCCCAGAAAACAUCCUUCCUCCUCUAAGAACUAUCUGUAGAAACUGGGCCAGGCUCUGUCUCUUUCCUGUCAAUGUUUCAAAUCGGGCCACCAGAGCAUCUGAGCCAGACUCCAAGGGUGUGCAGAGCCCCGAGAAAAAGGUGCAUUCACCAUCCAUCCCAGCCACAGCUCAAGGGACCAAGGAACGCCCUUCCUUCCCCUCCUCUCCAUCAACCACAAGAGUACCUUGCAACCACAAGAGUGCAGGAGAGGGAGACAGACUGUGCUUCUAACAAGAAAUAAGGGACUAAAACUAAGACCACCAAGAGUUAAGCGGAGAAUCAAACCAUGACUAGUGUAGGCAGAUCAGGAUGCACUCCACAGCCAAGCUAGUCUUCCUAACAAAAACUCAAAGACCCGCCUUGGCCAGGUGCAGUGGCUCACGCCUGUAAUCCCAGCACUUUGGGAGGUUGAGGCGGGUGGAUCACCUAAGGUCAGGAGUUCAAGACAGCCUGGCCAACAUGGUGAAACCCCAUCUCUACCAAAAAUACAAAAAUUAGCUGGGCGUGGUGGCAAACGCCUAGAGUCCCAGCUACUCAGGAGGCUGAAGCAGGAGAACUGAGAAUCAUUUGAACCUGGGAGACAGAGGGUGCAGUGAGCCAAGAUCGCGCCACUGCACUCCAGCCUGGGUGACAGAGAAACUCCAUCUCAAAAAAAAAAAAAAAAAAGACUCACCUAGCACCAGGAUCUAAGAAUGAAAGACAUUUGUUUGCGGAAGGCCACGUGUGUGAAAUUGAGGGUCAUGAGUUCUAACCUCAUCACUCAAGUAACUGGUAUUAACAACAGAAACACAGGUUUAAACUCAAUUUGGAAAAAUGAAGAAUGUCCUCAAAUCACCCACAACUGUGAGUUUCCCACUGACUUAGGCCUCCAGGGGAGAGGGAACAAACAGGCCCUUUUCCUACCAUAACCCAACUGUGGUUUACAAAAUGUGAGGGGAAACCGGAUCUGAAAAGUCCCAAUUUUCAGAGUUUACAAAUGUGCAGAGAUGACUCAGAAUUAUCUGACUAGCACAGAAUUGUCCUUGAAAACUCAUGGGACUCAAUCGUGUUGCAAACCUUAAUACAAUAAGGGGGGAAUCCCAAAUGUUUUUCUUCUGUGUGUUUUGGGAGACAGGUGGAGAGAACCCAAAGGCCAUGAGCCACCCUGACUGGCUUCCACUUCCCCUGACCCGCACAGGUGACAGCUUACCAGUUCCCCAAAGGUCGGUGACGGACCCCAGCUGAUGGUGCUCUCAUCGGCGGCCACAAUGAUGCUGCUCUUCCUGCAAACAGGCAGGCUGUCACUGCAGGGCCAGCAGCCCCAGACCUGCACCCACGCAGCUAUGGCUCAAGGGCAUGAGUGUGAGCUGCCACUUUUCCCUUGGCGUACUCAUUCCAAGUAGCAAACACAAUAACAGGGCCAACAGGUUUCUCCUCAAUCCUAAGAUUGUUCCGUGCAGGCCACUCAACGCUUCAACAAAACAACAAAGCCCUUAGACAGGCCUAGGGGCCAAAGGCAGGGGACCUUGCUGUGCAUCCUGCACAGCUCUCUCUCAGUGGGAGGUCGCUUUGGGAAGAGGAGACCAGAUCAGGAUAAAGUGAAAGCCUGUUCCAGAGGGAGCAGCCUUCAUGCAUAAUGAUUUGGGCAGGGCUAGAGCCUUCAACAGAUUAAAGCCACGCCGACAGAGGCCCCUCAUACUGUUCCACCCACACCUGCCAGCUGAUAAAUCCAACUCCUCAGCAAGAAGUGCUAGCUAACUCAACAGGUGUCCUGAAAUGAACUACAAACCACUGCUGCCAAGACAAUGUCGUCUUCCCAGUGUCACAGCAACUCAAGUCCUGCUACGUUUCCAACUACGUAUAAUUUUCAACCUGCAGCGUAGGAAUACAUCAAGCUCUGCUUGUUUAUUUCUUUGAACAGAAACCUUCAAAAUGACUUUCUUCCCACAAGACAGGGAACAGCCAUCUGUUCUAGCAGCAAAUGGGCCCUCUCCCCUCCUGUACCCCCGGACUCUGGGAUUCAGUGUGUCAGAUGGCCUGCUGAGGACAGCCCAACAGGCAGCAGAAACAGAGCCCCAUCAGGGAGGGGCACCCCAUGGGUGUGUCUGACACCCCCAUGAAAGGAAGAGACCUCAUACCCACAGGAGAUGCUGCCACCUACCCACAAGCCAGGCUCCGGAUUCUCCAGCCGCAGAGGUCCUGCACUGCUUUUGGGUACAUGGUAGAUUCACGGGAGGUGUUGGUGGCCCCCCAGAAAAACAGACCACCUAAGGGAAGACAAAACAUGUUCCCAGCGUGACCAGACAUCGAGAGCUGAGUCUCAUCUUCAGUAUUAUCAGGGUGAAAAGAGGACGGGAUGGCAAACAAGUGUUCUGUCUAAAAGAUAACUGGAGCCAGGCGUGGUGGCGUGCCUGUGCAGUCCUAGCUACUCAGGACGCUGUGGUGGUAGGACUGCUUGAGCCCAGGAGUUCGACACCGGCCUGGACAACACAACGAGUUCCUGUCUCAAAAAAAUAAAGAACACUGGGAGGUAAAGAGAAUUGGGGUUCGUGGUCUAGGGACAGGACAAUGGCUACACGGUUCCGCACCAGAGCACUGAUAAGCCAGGGGGCAGAAAUCACUAACCCACUUCACUGACAGCAAAGGAGCAGGUGUAACCAGCAUAGAUCUGGGAAGCCCCACGAGAAGACUCGCUUCUGGGAGUCCAGGACCAGCUGCAAGGAAAGAAAACACAGGGUUGGAACAAACAGACUUCCAACAGGCAACAAGAGGGGUCAUCGUUUCUGUGCAGACAACCUGGUGCAAAUGCUAAGGGCAAAGGAACAGCAACAUUCAAGAUCCCCUACCAGCCGGGCACGGUGGUUCACAUCUAAUCCCAACACUUUGGGAGGCCAAGGUGGGUGGAUCACUUGAGGUCAGGAGUUUGAGACCAGCCUGGCCAACAUGGUGAAACCCUGUCUCCAAAAACCAAAGAAAUAUCCUUUGCCUGCCUCCAGCAGAAAGAUCCUCUACCUCCCGCCUCCAGCAGUGGGGGAGGAGGCAACAGGAGCAAGUGUAGCAAAAUGGCAUGCAUUCAAUAAGCCCAGUUUGCUAUUUUCUCUGCCAGGGACUCCAUUUUCCAAUCCUUUUUUGUUCUGUUUAUUUAUUUAAGUUACAAGUCUUAACCCUUUCCUUAAUCAGAAGCAACAGGGCUAUGUCUCCUGAGAGUUGGGCAAUCAUUUGAUUCCCACUACAACAGAGAUUCGGCCAGAUGCAGUGGCUCAUGCCUGUAAUCCUAGCACGUUGGGAGGCUGAGGCAGGUGGAUUGCCUGAACUCAGGAAUUCAAGACCAGCCUGGGCAACAUGGUGAAACCCAUCUCUACUAAAAUACAAAAAAAUUAGCUGGGCACAGUGGUGUGCACCUGUAAUCCCAGCUACUCAGGAGGCUGAGACAGGAGAAUCUCUUGAACCUGGGAGGCGGAGGCUGCAGUGAGCCGAGAUAGCGUCACUGCACUCCAGCCUGGGUGACGGAAUGAGACUCCAUCUCAAAAAAAAAAAACAAAACGAAACAAAAAAAAAAACACAACAAAAAAAAAACAGAUUCAAUUGCAGAAAGAACAGAAAAGGCCUACCUGUUCCUGGAUUUUUCGUUUCUUUUCCCCCCCUCGAGAGGGUCUCGUGCUCUGUUACCUAGGCUGGAAUGCAAUGGCACGAUCACGGCUCACCACAACCUCCACCUCCUGGGCUCAAGCGAUUCUCCUACCUCAGCCUCCCAAGUCGCUAGGACUUGGGUGUGCACCACCAUGCCCAGCUGAUUUUUGUGGUUUUUUUGUAGAGAUGGGGGUCUCACCAUGUUGCUCAGGCUGGUCUCAAAUGAUCUGCCCACCUUGGCCUCCCAAAGUCCUCUGAUUACAAACAUGAACCACUGCGCCCGGCCUGGAUUUUUCUUUAGACUUCCCUCACCCACAGGUACAGAGGUAACCUGUACCUGGUCACUGAUGAAAUGAACUCAGAGACACUUCAAGUGUUUAAGAUUUAUCUUCUUCAGUCUCGUUUUCCCAUCUUCUGACAUGCCAAUUCAGUUCUUUGAUGUUUCAUGUCUAAACCAUGGGAAUCUACAACUUACUAAAAAACUUGGCCUAUAAGGCCCUAAACAAGAGCCAACUUUAUUUCCCCUGACUACAUCAGACAAAACAAAUCAGUUUUUGGACUUGCACAAACUGAAAUCUCCUACCCUAGUCCUAGCCCAAUUCCCUGGGCAUUCUUCAUCGGCAAGAAGAUUCCAAGGGAAGGAGGUGGUGAGCUGAGACCACUCAGUGGGGAGGACCAACUUGAUCUCUGGAAUCCUAGCCCAGGCUUUUUCAACAAAGCAUAGAACAAAGAGACUCCUAGGCAUUCUCAGACAGAAGAACCACAGGAAGGCCAUUAAAAUUAAAAGAUACACUAACAGCCGGGCGCGGUGGCUCACACCUAUAAUCCCAGCACUUUGGGAGGCCGAGGCAGGUGGAUCACGAGGUCAGGAGUUUGAGACCAGCCUGGCCAACAUGGUGAAACCCCAUCUCUACUAAAAAUACAAAAUUAGCCAGGAAUGGUGGCAGGUGCCUCUAAUCCCAGCUACUCAGGAGGCUGAGGCAGGAGAAUAGCUUGAAACAGGAAGACAGAGGUUGCAGUGAGUUGAGAUCCCACCACUGCAUUCCAGCCUGGGUGAAAAAGUGAAACUCCGCCUCAAAUAAAAAAAAAAAAGAUACACAAACAAAAGAUUGCACUGCAGUUUAUCUAAAGUGACCUUUAAAGAAACAACCUAGGCCAGGCGUGGUGGCUCACACCUGUAAUCCCAGCACUUUGAGAGGCCGAGGUGGGCAGAUCACCUGAGGUCAGGAGUUUGAGACCAGCCUGACCAACAUGGAGAAACCCUGUCUCUACUGAAAAUACAAAACUAGCCGGGGCAUGGUGGCGCAUGCCUGUAAUCCCAGCUACUCGGGAGGCUGAGGCAGGAGAAUUGCUUGAACCUGGGAGGUGGAAGCUGUGGUGAGCCGAGAUCACGCCAUUGCACUCCAGCCUGGGCAACAAGAGUGAAACUGUCUCCAAAAAAAAAAGGGGGGGGGGGCGGGGGGGACAACCUACUGAUUAAAAACGACUCACAUCCCCAGUAUGGGGCACCAUCUACUGACCUGGAAAGAUGUCUGUGAUGUUAUGUUAGAUAAAAGCCAAAAGCAGAAAGUGCUUACCUUAAGGUGCAGGUGAGGGCGGCAAAACAUCUACGUGUUUAAGAUGUGUCUAUUUAAAUCACGGGAGAAGUUAACAUAGGAGGCAGUGACAGGGAACCCUGCCCUGGGACCAAGGACCCUUUGGCCAAGGUGCAAAGCCCUCUUGAAGAAGCAAGCAGAUGUCUACCUGGGAUCAGUUCCUAGCCAAAGCCAAGCGUCAGGAAACUUGAGCAUAAACACCCCUUCCAUCCUGGUGCGACUCUCAGGAAGUGAGAAAAGCCGAGCCUCACCGUGUGGUUAGCGCCACAGGCCACGUCUCGUACAACCACGUUUGGUACAGGCAGAAUCUGUCCAUCUUUCGUCUUCUCAAUGAAGAUGGCCACUCGCCGGGGAACUAGUUCACAGUCGUACUCUAUCCGCUGUGCCCGGGCGAUGAACUUCCCAUCUGAGUUGUGUCCUGUAGAGACCACAGAGCCGGCCAUCAGCAGCAGCACAAGCACAAGGGACGUGUCAGUGUGCUCACACGGACUCUGUAGUGAGCCCCGGCAGCACCCCAAUCUGGCCCUUCUGGGCCUUAGACCAGCACACGUUGGUCAACAAAGGCAGCAUUUCCAAUCUUAGGCACAGCACAGUGAGUGGGUCAGUGAAAUCAAUUUUGUGAGCUAAGACCAGUUAUUUUUUAAAAACGAAUAGAACAGAAUGACAAAGAAUACUCUACACAUAAUAAUGGCACCAUGUUACAACAAUUCCAGGUAAGGUAUUAUACGUUCAGAUUGGGUUGCAAAAGAAAACUUAUUUCUUACAAUGGGUUGCAGUCAAAAAAGUUGAAGCUGCUGAUCAAGGAAUGGUCUAUCAAGUAAGAUCUCUACCCCACUGGAGGGACCACAAGGAGCCCCUAAAAGACCAAGAAUAGACAGAAAAGCUCCAUACACAAUCCCAGGCCUCUGUUUUUAUGAAUUACCAGUAACCUAAACGUAUGGUUACGGGUGGCUAAAGCCUGCAAUUCCCACACUCCGAAUGACCCAGGGACUGGUUCGCAAAGACCCAGCUCAGCACACCACACACCAGAAGCCCGGCUGCUCCAGUCCUGAGAACACGCCAGACACCCAAGCUCCUGCAGCCACCUGCAGCAGCAGGGCUGCUAAGUAGUUUAUAGUUUUAAACUGCUCCUGUUCCCACACUGUGAUCAUCAGUUUGGUUGGGCACGGUGGGCCACGCCUGGAAUCCCAGCACGUUGGGAGGCCGAAGUGGGUGGAUCACCUGAAGUGAGGUGUUUGAGACCAGCCUGGCCAACACAGUGAAGGCCUGUCUCUACUUUAAAAAACAAAAACAAACAAACAAAGAUUAGCUGGGCGUGGUGGUGGGUGCCUAUAGUCCAGCUACUUGGGAAGGCUGAGGCAGAAGAAUCGCUUGAACCUGGGAGGUGGAGGUUGCAGUGAGCAGAGAUCAUGCCACUGCACUCCAGCCUGGGCGACAGAACAAGUUUCUGUCUCCAAAAAAAAACAAACAAAAAAACUUGUUGUUAUCAGUUUGUAAACUAGCCCCCGGCUUGUGGCUAAUCCCCCUCCAUACGGCACGCUGGUGUGCACCUCAGCCCUUAUUGGUAUGUGUGUUUUUGAGCACUGUGCUAUUUAAAUACAGUCAGCCCUCCAUGGCCACAGGUUCAACCAACAGUGGUCCAAAAAUAUCUGGGGGGAGGAGGAAACAAGGAAAAAAAAAAGAUAAUACAAACAAUACAAGUAAGACCAUACAGUAGAACUACUUACAUAACAUUUACAUCACAUUAGGUACUGAAGUAAUCUAGAGAUGAUUUUAAGUGUACAGGUUACAUGCAAAUACUAUGCCAUUUUAUAUAAGGUACUUGAGCAUCUUAAGAUCUUGGUAUCCACAGGGGGUACUGGAAGCAAUCCCCCAGGUUACCAAGGAGCAACUGCACCCUGGAAUCACAACUACGCUACACACAAUAAAACUCCUGGGCUUGUUUACAGGGCGCCUUAUAACACUCAUCUCAUAAGCAGGUUCUAUUUUUUUUUUUUUUUUUUUGAGACAGAGUCUCGCUCUGUCGCCCAGGCUGGAGUGCGGUGGCAUGAUCUCUGCUCACUAUCACUGUCUUAUGACAGCAGUUCUCUACUGUUGACAUAAUCCCUUCCAGUGGAACAUCUGUCCGUUUAAAAGUCUGAGGGUCUUGGCCGGGCGCGGUGGCUCGCGCCUGUAAUCCCAGCACUUUGGGAGGCUGAGGUCGGCGGAUCACGAGGUCAAGAGAUUGAGACCAUC
RNAcentral lists this long non-coding RNA (9203 nucleotides) under Homo sapiens (human). RNAcentral describes it as "HSALNT0002412". The record is from RNAcentral. Lineage: Eukaryota; Metazoa; Chordata; Mammalia; Primates; Hominidae.